GUCCUGAAUUCCUCUUUGCCGAUGCAGAAGCUUGUAGCUUGUUGCACAACUUCAGAAGCUGAAGGACAGAGCGGCACUGACCUUUCCCAAAUUAGUUCUUUUGCCAUUAGCCUACUGUACAGAAGGGGAGUCUGUGAUGACAGCAAUAUUUUCACUGAAAGAAUAUUCAGUGAGUCAGUGUGGGGCUUGCACCCUGUGAAAUGGGGAACAGAAGAACUCUUCACAGCUGUCUGAUACCUUCAGCUCCCAGCUUGAGGAGAGCUCGGUUUAACUAAGUACAUCAGUGCACCCUAUGAGAUACUGGGCUCCCUGUCACCAGAGAGUUGAAAUCUCUCAGAACCUGAUGGAAUGAAGUCUCAGUUUCAAUAAAACACUGCUGUGGAGAGUAACUGGCUGCCAUAAAGCCUUUAAUGUGAGCAGCUUUGUGAUCCCACCUGCAGCCCAGCUCCUUCCCCCUCUUCUUCAGGUGGCCACUGUGGUGAACAACCUGCGUCUGGCUGAUGUAGCACCUUCCUCUCUGUGGGGCUGCUUAGGUGCCAGUCUGGAAAAAAACUAUUUCAAAAUUAUUUCUCUUAAAAACAAGUGUGUUGACAACACGACUUUACAAGACACUUGCACACAGUCCAACACUCAUCAAUACUCAGUGCAUUUAUUUCCAAGAAAGGGAAGACUGAUUUUCUGUCAUUAGGUAUCAGUUCACACUCCUGGGUGAUAAAAGCUGAGGUGGCAGGAAAAUGGAUCAAGAAAACCCUCAUUCACUUCGCCCUCCAACUUCUCAGCACUGUACGCUUUCUCCUGCCAGGUGUCUAAUAAAUGUUUCUGCCCUGGGAACUAACGUCUGUUGAACUCAUCUACAAGUAGCAAUGGUCUGGAAAGUGCUGAUACGUUCAGUUGGCCAGCAUCAAAAAGAAGAAAGUUUUGUGGCCACUCAGCGAGACAUACUUCAGAUUCCUGAGCAUAACUUGGAAUGAAAAAAAUUAAUCUUUGAUUUAUCUUUGAGUAUGUAGGCUUUUUUUUUAUUAUUUUUUUCCCAGGUCUGUGUCUAUGAUU
Molecule: long non-coding RNA, 1050 nt
Organism: Tympanuchus pallidicinctus (lesser prairie-chicken)
Lineage: Eukaryota; Metazoa; Chordata; Aves; Galliformes; Phasianidae
Exons: 4
Source: RefSeq, a predicted model, not a curated record